Molecule: transfer RNA, 69 nt
Filed under: Carbrunneria paramaxi
Lineage: Eukaryota; Metazoa; Arthropoda; Insecta; Blattodea; Blattellidae
Description: tRNA-Asn
Source: RNAcentral
UUGGUUGAAACCAAAAUAGAGGUAUAUUACUGUUAAUAAUAAAACUGAAUGAACAAUAUUCCAACCAAG